RNAcentral lists this ribosomal RNA (252 nucleotides) under uncultured bacterium. RNAcentral's name for it is "partial 16S ribosomal RNA". It matches the Rfam family "Bacterial small subunit ribosomal RNA", at positions 1247 to 1500 of the family's 1533-position model. The record is from RNAcentral.
AAGCAAGAUAGUGAUAUUAAGCAAAACCCAAAAAGCAGUCUCAGUUCGGAUUGAAGGCUGAAAUUCGCCUUCAUGAAGCCGGAAUUGCUAGUAAUGGCAGGUCAGCAUACUGCCGUGAAUACGUUCCCGGGCCUUGUACACACCGCCCGUCACACCAUGAGAGUUGGGAAUACCCGAAGCCUGUGAGCUAACUUUUAGAGGCAGCAGUCGAAGGUAGAAUCAAUGAUUGGGGUGAAGUCGUAACAAGGUACC